GUUUGUAGAAAGUGCCUGUGACAAAAUCUGGGUAAAGACUACUCGCCUGAGGAGGAAUUUUCGUUGAACUAUCAGAGUGGCUGCUGCUGUUGUUGUCCAGAGUGCCUCGAGAAGCAAUAGUAGUUUUGUUGUGUUUUCGUGUAUUUAAGCUUCGAGUGUUCAGUGUUUUUCUGUUUUGUUUUGCAUCUCAAGAUGUAAUCUGAGGAUUAGUCCUCUUUCUACAGCUGUGAAUUCUAUGUCAUACCAAAGUUUCAA
This is a long non-coding RNA of Coffea eugenioides, 255 nucleotides long. RefSeq lists it as uncharacterized. The transcript is spliced from 2 exons. NCBI's taxonomy places the organism in Eukaryota, Viridiplantae, Streptophyta, Magnoliopsida, Gentianales, Rubiaceae. The record is from RefSeq and is a predicted model, not a curated record.